GGAUAGUGGCGAACGGGUGAGUACACGUGAGUAACCUGCCCUUGACUCUGGGAUAAGCCUGGGAAACUGGGUCUAAUACCGGAUACGACCGCUCCACGCAUGUGGUGGUGGUGGAAAGCUUUUGCGGUUUUGGAUGGACUCGCGGCCUAUCAGCUUGUUGGUGGGGUAAUGGCCUACCAAGGCGACGACGGGUAGCCGGCCUGAGAGGGUGACCGGCCACACUGGGACUGAGACACGGCCCAGACUCCUACGGGAGGCAGCAGUGGGGAAUAUUGCACAAUGGGCGCAAGCCUGAUGCAGCGACGCCGCGUGAGGGAUGACGGCCUUCGGGUUGUAAACCUCUUUCAGUAGGGAAGAAGCGAAAGUGACGGUACCUGCAGAAGAAGCGCCGGCUAACUACGUGCCAGCAGCCGCGGUAAUACGUAGGGCGCAAGCGUUAUCCGGAAUUAUUGGGCGUAAAGAGCUCGUAGGCGGUUUGUCGCGUCUGCUGUGAAAGACCGGGGCUCAACUCCGGUUCUGCAGUGGGUACGGGCAGACUAGAGUGAUGUAGGGGAGACUGGAAUUCCUGGUGUAGCGGUGAAAUGCGCAGAUAUCAGGAGGAACACCGAUGGCGAAGGCAGGUCUCUGGGCAUUAACUGACGCUGAGGAGCGAAAGCAUGGGGAGCGAACAGGAUUAGAUACCCUGGUAGUCCAUGCCGUAAACGUUGGGCACUAGGUGUGGGGGACAUUCCACGUUUUCCGCGCCGUAGCUAACGCAUUAAGUGCCCCCGCCUGGGGAGUACGGCCCGCAGGCUAAAAACUCAAGGGAAUUGACGGGGGC
Molecule: ribosomal RNA, 820 nt
Filed under: soil bacterium Siso-S1P-M1LLLSSL-3
Lineage: Bacteria
Description: bacterial SSU rRNA
Rfam family: Bacterial small subunit ribosomal RNA
Source: RNAcentral